RNAcentral lists this ribosomal RNA (119 nucleotides) under Esox lucius (northern pike). Lineage: Eukaryota; Metazoa; Chordata; Actinopteri; Esociformes; Esocidae. The record is from RNAcentral.
GCUUACGGCCACACCUCCCUGAGCACGCACGAUCUCGUCUGAUCUCGGAAGCUAGCAGGGUCGGGCCCAGGUUAGUACUUGGAUGGGGAGACAGCCUGGAAUACCAGGUGCUGUAAGCC